Molecule: ribosomal RNA, 518 nt
Filed under: uncultured eukaryote
Lineage: Eukaryota
Description: SSU rRNA
Rfam family: Eukaryotic small subunit ribosomal RNA
Source: RNAcentral
UAGUCAUAUGCUUGUCUCAAAAACUAACCCAUGCAUGUCUAAUUAUAAAUGGUAUACAGUGAAACUGCAAGUGGCUCAUUAAAACAGUUAUAGUUUAUUUGGUAAUCAAAAUUACAUGGAUAACCGGGGUAAUUCUAAAGCUAAUACAUGCUGUAAAGCCCGACUUUUUGAAGGGCCGUAUUUAUUAAAUAACAAACCAAUAUUCCUCGUGUCUAUGGGGGUGAAUCAUAGUAACUUAUCGAAUCGCAGGGGCUUCCCCCGCAACAAACCAUUCAAGUUUCUGCCCCAUCACCUUUCAAUGGUAGUGUAUUGAACUACCAUGGCUUUUACGGGUAACGGAGGAUUAGGGUUCAAUUCCGGAAAGGGAGCCUGAAAAACGGCUACCACAUCUAAGGAAGGCAGCAGGCGCGUAAAUUACCCAAUUCUAAUUCAAAGAGGUAGUGACAAAAAAUAACGGGUCGGGACUAUGUCCCGGGACUGCAAUGAGAUGAAUUUACACCCCUUUUUGAGUAACAAUU